GGGGAAUUUUGGACAAUGGGGGCAACCCUGAUCCAGCCAUUCCGCGUGAGUGAAGAAGGCCUUCGGGUUGUAAAGCUCUUUCGGCAGGAACGAAACGGCGAGCUCUAACAUAGCUCGCUAAUGACGGUACCUGAAGAAGAAGCACCGGCUAACUACGUGCCAGCAGCCGCGGUAAUACGUAGGGUGCGAGCGUUAAUCGGAAUUACUGGGCGUAAAGCGUGCGCAGGCGGUUGUGUAAGACAGGUGUGAAAUCCCCGGGCUUAACCUGGGAACUGCGCUUGUGACUGCACGGCUAGAGUAUGGCAGAGGGGGGUGGAAUUCCACGUGUAGCAGUGAAAUGCGUAGAGAUGUGGAGGAACACCGAUGGCGAAGGCAGCCCCCUGGGCCAAUACUGACGCUCAUGCACGAAAGCGUGGGGAGCAAAC
This 425-nucleotide ribosomal RNA is filed under the name uncultured bacterium. RNAcentral's name for it is "bacterial SSU rRNA". It matches the Rfam family "Bacterial small subunit ribosomal RNA", at positions 356 to 773 of the family's 1533-position model. The record is from RNAcentral.